RNAcentral lists this ribosomal RNA (465 nucleotides) under uncultured bacterium. Its description in RNAcentral is "partial 16S ribosomal RNA". It matches the Rfam family "Bacterial small subunit ribosomal RNA", at positions 28 to 507 of the family's 1533-position model. The record is from RNAcentral.
GAUGAACGCUGGCGGCGUGCUUAACACAUGCAAGUCGAACGGAAAGGCUCCUGCUUGCAGGGGUACUCGAGUGGCGAACGGGUGAGUAACACGUGGGUGAUCUGCCCUGCACUUCGGGAUAAGCCUGGGAAACUGGGUCUAAUACCGGAUAGGACGAUGGUUUGGAUGCCAUUGUGGAAAGUUUUUCGGUGUGGGAUGAGCUCGCGGCCUAUCAGCUUGUUGGUGGGGUAAUGGCCUACCAAGGCGUCGACGGGUAGCCGGCCUGAGCGGGUGUACGGCCACAUUGGGACUGAGAUACGGCCCAGACUCCUACGGGAGGCAGCAGUGGGGAAUAGUGCACAAUGGGCGCAAGCCUGAUGCAGCGACGCCGCGUGGGGGAUGACGGCCUUCGGGUUGUAAACUCCUUUCGCUAGGGACGAAGCGCAAGUGACGGUACCUGGAGAAGAAGCACCGGCUAACUACGUG